Long non-coding RNA from Phasianus colchicus (ring-necked pheasant), 14689 nucleotides. RefSeq lists it as uncharacterized. Lineage: Eukaryota; Metazoa; Chordata; Aves; Galliformes; Phasianidae. The record is from RefSeq and is a predicted model, not a curated record.
GCCACUGCCUCACUGCUCGUUCUGAGAAGAAAUUCUUCCUCAUAUCCCAUCUGAAAUCUGCAAUCUGAUGCAAUCUGCACAAAAGCAGGUUUCCAUUCAGCCUUGCAGUGCUUACCUCUGCAGAAAUUAUGUUCUCUGCAGGGAAAUCUUGUCACUCUGUAGGUUCUUUCCCCGCGGCUGCUUGCAACGUACAGAUCAGCAGAUCUUUCUUCACAUUUCUCCCCCAACACUGCUUACAGAAGGCAUGGAGGUAGGUAGGAUGUGAGGGGCAAAGCCACCCAAGCAGCAGACCAGAAUAUUGUGCAUUGGGCAAGCGUAAAAUCCCAAUUUUUGUCCAUUGUUUUUCCUGCUCUGUUAAAAACUGGCCUUACACACAGCCUUGCCUUGCUCUUGACCAUCUAGGUCAUCCUGAGUGCAGGGAUCCCACAAAAACACAAGGAAAAGCACACACAGCCAUAGUGGAAAUUAUCUCCAGUGCUUUUGAUGCAGAAUGAAAAAAGCCAUAUCCCCAAAGCCACGGGGCGAGAAAGUGAUAAGCCCUGCUCUAAUUCUCCUUUUGUGUGGAGUAGCGUCUCAGGAUCAGGAUCAGGAAUUCUAUGGCAACCCGAUUUAAAUAUGACAAUGUAUGGAAUCAGUAUGAAAAUUAUUACACAAUUCAGAGCCCUCAGUCCUGGGCUAGGGCUCACUGCUGACAAGCUUACAUUAAGAAGCAAUUACCUUUGAAAAUGACCCUAUCGGGCCAAGAAAGCAAAGCAAAUUUCUCUAUGUGACAGACACUUCUGGCAAUUUCAGUUGUGUUACACUCUCAACAUCUUCCAUAUUGCAUCUGCUAUUACUGUGUCUUUCUCCAGAACUGUGCACAACCACAAAGCUUCCAGGCUAUGGGGAUUUUUGCAGCUCAGGUGGGUGCAGUUCAAGAUGGAAGCUCCAUUAGCUGGAGAUGUGUAGCCAAAUGAUCGCUGACUGAACUGAUUUGCAUGGACAUCUAAAUGUGGCUUUCCGAGCUCUUCCUCCACAAACAGGAGAAGAACCACUUGUUUUUGGAAUUCGUGUCUGAAGCUGCCACACACUUCUAAGGCAAUUUUGAAUCAUAAUCAUAGAGUCAUUCAAGUUGGAGAAGACCACUAAAAUUGUCUAGUGCAACUUGCUGUCAGCUCACACUGAGUUUCCUUCACACACUGCUGUGCAGGUUUAAAACCAGCAGGAAAACUUUGCAAAGCACCCACUUCCCAUCCAUAUAUACUGGCUCCUGAAAGUUUUAGCAUCAUGGUUUCCGUGUCCCAGCCUCUGAACAAGUUGUAGAGGCUUUGGUGAUUGCCAGCUGAGGGCAGAAAUAAGUAAGGGUGAGGUUUUGGGAAAGGAAAGGAGGCCAAUGCCUUAGUUAAUAGCAGAAAGGGCUGCGAUAAUUACAAGCUCUCCCAGUACACAUAGAUGUAGCUAAGCAAGUGGUCAGGUCUCCACAUGAAACAAAAUGAAAUUAAAGAAAAACAGAAAAUAAAAACAAAAAUACAACAACAGCACUCAUAGAACUCUACGCACUCAAGGGCACGGGUGUCAGGCAGCUCUGCCAAAGCCACUUGAUGUACACUUGUGAACUGCACCCCCAUGGACUGCUCGCCUGUGCACGUCAGACAAACAAGAUCCUAUGAUGAGAGGCUGCCCCUCUGAAGGGUUGCCUUGCUUUUGUGCUUUGCUGUCUCUAUGUGUCUUUCACGAAGCUUUAUUAUCAUUGAUAAUGAAGAACUAAGAGGGAAAAAAAUUCUAUUCAAGUAUUGCAUAGUCAAAAAAUCACUUCCCUGGAUGCUGGAAAAUCAAAUAGAAGACUCCAGGGCAGAAGGGCUAAUUAAAAAAAAAAUCACACACACACACAAAAUCACAAAAGCCUGCUUUGCUAUGAAAACCCUUGAGGGGAGAUAAGAGCUGAAGUGAAGCACACGCUUGAAUAAUAAGGGUCUUAAUGGGUUUGGGUCCACGUCUACUACAAAGCAUUGAUUUUGGAUGCUUGAUGAAGUUAGUUAUUAGAUUAGAAAAAAUUAUUUAAAGAGACACUGCUCACUGAAGAUCAUUCUGUAGGAGAAGUUUGUAUUGGUGUCAUAAGUAACCACUCAUUUUAAUGAAAGGAGGCUGGAGUGAAAAAAAAUCUUUUUAGUGCCCAGAUUAUUUAUUUCACGCAGCUGGCAGAAUCUGUGGUACAUCUUAGCUUCUCCCUUCAGUGUCCACUCCUUACAACCCUGGAUUUGUAUCCCAGUCAAUCUUUGGGAAAAGGCUGCAGGGCUGCAGCAGUGGGAUCAGCAGGAGGCAAGGACUGAGGUGCUCAGAAAGAGCCCAGAUUUUGCAGACAGGAGGGGAAAGAAAGGGCUGAGGGAGACGGGAGGUUGGGCACCAAGGUCUCGUGCAUUGUCUCCUGCAAACUCAAGCUGUCUCUACAGCUGUUCCCUUCAAUAAGCCCAGCAGCCUUUGGGAUUUUCUUGCAGGGAUUAAAAGACAAGGCUUGAGUCCCAGACUUCUUAUCCAGUUUGAGAUUUGGACUUGUAAAGUACUGUCCUCUCAUUUGUACCACAGCUGAGUGCUGAGCUCCAAGAACUCAUUCCAUAUCUCCAUAUUUGCAGGGGUGAAAGUAGGUGGGAUUCAGACAUGUUAUUCUCAGGGCAAAUAUAUUGUUUUGUUCAGAAAUGGCAGAUCAGAAGUGAGACAGGGCCAGUGACACACCUGAGGAUAUUAAGAAUAUCAUUCAUCCAACCGUAGGCAUUGCAGUGGAAAUGUCUUAUCUGAACUUGCUGGUUGAGCUCCCUUUGUAGUCACUGUGAAGCAGAUGAGUCAUCUCAUCCCAGUGCAGACAUCUGAAAGAGGGCAGGUGACUCAUAUCUUACAAGUACCCACUUCUCUUCCUGAUUAUAAAGGGCAGUUCUGAUGAAGACAUUUGAUGUCAGGUGAGGUGACUCCCACCUUGACUGGCUAGACUGCCUUAGGAUGCGAAAUAUGAAGUUAGACAAAGAAUAACACAUGCAGACUGAUUAUCACUGAUCUGUAAGUUACCUUAGCCUGUGAAAUGGUAAAAAAUCUUGUGUCUGAUUGCUUCCAUGUUGCUGGAAUGACAGCCAGGAAGGCAGGCUGUGGAUUAAACACUGUGGCCUGGGUUACGUGGUUACUCAGACCAGCUGUCUGUAGUGGUCAGUUUUAGGCUGAGCAUCUCUGAGAAUCACACCAGCAAGUGAUAUAAGUGAAUGUUGGCAACCCAGCAGGUUGUCUUUGAGAGGCCCAGGAAGUCACCUCCUUUCUCAGCCUCCUGAUUUCAGUCCUCAUGCCUACAACAGUGACAGUGAACACAGGCUCAUCCAUAACUGGUGAGAUCCAAUGGCAUGGGUCACUGUGGAGCUCAUCCAGAAACUCCCAUUUGGUGGUGACUUACAGCCUGCUCAGGAGGCAAUCUGUGUAUGUAGCAUCACCAGAAACUCAGCCUGAUUAUUAAAAGCAAAAAAGCGGGUUCUCUACCAGGCUUGACAUCUAACUAGCAGUUGUUAAGUUUAUUGAUCUCAUUACCAUCCCUGCAGUAAUUCCUGCAUUUCAAAAGCAAACCUCGCACUUUGUCAUCUACAAAGUUGUCUUUGGAAGGGAUGAAGGAUUCGGAGCUCACCCAAGAUGACUGCAUGUCUGACUCCUGUAAUCUCUGCUCUCCUCCCUGGUUGUUAAUCUUGGACUCUGAAUAGUUGCCUAACUCAGCUCCUGCAAAUGUUGCCAGGAUGAGAUUCUGGGUAUGUGCUUCAUGGACUUGUCAUUAGCACCAGCUGGUCUUGCAACAGUUUUCUCAGUGUUACAGCCUGAUCAAGAUCUCAGCAGCAGUGGGAUGCGCAUCCAGUGAGGAUGAAUGACUGGGAUUCCCAAGCAGUGUCUCUACAACUAGUUAGCUGGAGGCAAAAAACAGCUGGUGGCCAAUGUGGCGCAUUCAGGGUACCCCAAAAUAUUCCUGUAGAGUGACCUAGCCAAAAUAACAACUGGAAGUGGAAAGCUUUGGAUGCAAACAUUUAUAGAUAAAUCCAUGACCACAGCUUUUGAGGCACAAAGUACAGCCAGCCUGGAGGGCAGAAGAGAGAAGAUGGUGCUCAAAGAGAAGCAGUUGGCCGCUUUUUCAGCUAUCUAAAAUUCCUGCACUAAGCUUGUAGGUGAACACAUUCCUGAUAUUUUCAUGUGUCUUAAGAUGAUGUAUUUUCAUGUGAAUUCAGAAAGAGUUGGCAUAUUGGUUAAAAUUGGUUAAAAUUAAAAUUAACACAUCUAUAAAAUGGGCAUGAUGACAACACCCAUUAAUAAUAAUUAUAGUCACACUUCCCCUGGUUUCUGAAACAAAAACCAUUUAUCCAUUCAACUGUCGCAGGAAAAAAUCUACUGUCACCUGUCUUGAUCAAGACAAGGCAGAACCUGAUGCUGAAGCUCAUUACAAGUGCUGUCCCAGGUAAUCACACUGCUCUAUUAGCUGCAAAACAAAUGAGUAUUGAGUUCUGCAGAUUUGUGUCCUAUUUUCCCUCAUCUGCCUCCAGCUAUGCCCUGCACCGUACCCCAGCUUCCAUAUAGGUCAUCUGAUAAAACAGCGUCUACAAUGCUGCCUUUUCUGACUCCUGUGCUGAAGGAAACUAGGAUUACAUAGGUCUGAUCUCUAAAUCACUGUUUAUCCAUACGGGCUGAAAUUCCAUCAGUUCUGGAAGAAGGGCAGGACAAAGGGAAAGGUCACAAUAGAAUACAUGACUGCAGAUGUACUCAGAGACCAGAAGAGCCCUUGUGUGUCAGACUGUCAUUUUUGAUGUCUGUUGGGGAUGUUCAGUUGUGAAGCAAAUCCUCAGGUCACUCCUUCCCUGGCAGCUGCAGGGUCCCACCUGUGUUCUGACUCUGCAGACCUACCUAGCCAAGUCCUACACUGCUCCAGUUCAGGGGCUAUACAUUUUAUGAGUGCUCAAAGCCAGAUUGUUUGGAUCAUUUUUCUUGACUAUGCAAACUCCAAAACAGUGAUAUUAUUAUUUAUAUCUGUCAAGUCUCUCAUUAAUCUAAAUCCUGCCCUGUAACAGAAAACACAUAAUGCCUCCUAAGGGAGGAGGUUGCCUCUGAGUCACUGGCAGAACAGCAUGUUCUCUGCUCUCAUGGGCUCUCCACCAUAUCUGGCUUUUACUUCUCCCUCUUUCUAGUUUCACAAGUCAUCUUUUGGAUUGCAGUCAUCCAUCAGAGCCCUGCAAGGUGGCAAGAAAUGAGGAGAAAUGUCUGGGCGUUCCUCUUACAGCUGCCAACCAGUAUCAGUGUUGACUCAAUGAUCUGGCACUCGUUCACCCAGCCCAGCAAUACUGAACAUGGGUUUUGGUCUGUGGAUUUGCUGUUUCUUACAACCUGUACAAAAAGUGAGCAUGAAGUUUCCCUUUGCUGCUGAGUCAUUGUGAGCUAACAGUGGGAGAAAGCACCUGAAUCUCCUUGUUCAGAAGAUUUCCAGACACUGUAACGAAUGCCAAAGUGACAUUGAACUGAUGAGGUGUAAUCAAGCUGUUUUAAUGCUCAACUCUGUUGAAAUUCUACCCUCUGCAAACAAGCUCAGAAUGACUAAUGCUACAGCUUUUUGAGUCAACAGACGCAGCUUCUAACAUACAUGCAAUAUAACCCUGACUCUUGCUUGUCCUUUUUUUUUUUUUUUUUGAAUCCCCUUAUGCAUUUCUACCAGCACCACCUGAAUGCAUUGAUCCUGAAUAUCUUAACGGAAAAAAUUUGCUAAUUGUGCUGUGCACUUGAAGCGACCUAUCACAAAGAGGUUUUCCUUGAAAUAUAAAUGACGCCUUCAAAGUUGUUGUCUUUCCAUAAACAAAUCUAUUCUAAUGAGGUCUUUUGUGCCAAGCACAUUUUCUGCUCCCCAGCGUUAAUCCCCUGGCAAGUCUCCUCAGGCUUUCAGAGUAAUCGGUAGCAUCAUUCUCAGUAAUCAAUCACAGCUCUCCUGAAUGAACACAGGCUGUAGUGGCACACGGUCCCACACACCAGGGCCAGGCUAAUGAGGCAGCACGAGCUAAUGAGGGCUGAUUUGAUUGAACUCUGGAAAAAUAAAUUCCCUUCUUGCUCUCCUUCAGCAAAUUUGGUUUUGAUAGAUAUAGCAGAGAACCCCUGAACCUUAGGUACACAUCACUACAAAAUUCUGCCUGUACUUACAUUGCAGUACUGUGAACAUCGUCCAGGUUUUCUGUUGUAAUACAGAAGUAUAAAAAUGGACAAUCCAUGCUGGGACAAGAAAGCCAUUUGUACUGUAUACAGAAAGACACUCAGGCACCCUUUUAAGUACAGUUGAAAUUGCCAAGAGGUGAGCACAUCCUAGCUCCUGUUUUAGAUAGAAAGAGAUGUAAACUCUCUGGGGCUGAGUGUGCUUUUCCUGUAAAAAUAUGCAUUUUAUAAAGGACUUUGUUCCCUGUACCGUCUGGGAAAUGAACAAAUGUUGCCACAAAUACUAAAUAUUUCCAACUACAUCAUUCUGUCUUAACCUAUACACUAAAAAGAAAAAAUCAUAAAAUAAUAGAAUCAUUACGAUUGGAAAAGACCACUAAGAUCACCUACUCCAGCCAUCAGUCCAUCACCUCCAUGCCAGCUAAUCAUGUCCCUAAGUCACAGAGUUGUUGUGAGUUGUGGUUGAUGUAUUAUCUGUGCCUAAUGCUGCUGCUGCUAGAUGAAAAUACAAACAGAAACAGUAAACUGCACCCCUGCAAAUGAUGCCGCUAGGCUGAAUAAUUAGAAUUGCAUUGUGCAAAACUUGCUGUCAUGAUGGAUUAGAGAAGGCAGUUACACUGAGCUUCUUAAAACCUGCACAGGGCUAACAAACUGCAGCUCCACAGCACCAAAAUGUAGAAUCCAGUUUUGCUUUCUCUCCUUUUAUUUCAUUAACACAAAGUUCUCUUGCAAUGAAUGUCUGCAAACACCAUUGUCACACCUGGCAAUCACACUGGCAAUGGGAAUGAAGGGAUUUAACAGAGAAAUGGAGCCUGAAGGGGACAGCCAGCUAACCAGGAGUUGUACAGAGCAUUCCCAGCAGAUGUCUGCUUCCCAGACUAAACAGAAAGUCUCAGAAAGCAGGAGGUAACUUAGCACAGCCUUGAAGCUCCUCUGCUUUGCCCUAGAGGGCUGGAAAGUGCAAAGGUAGAGAUUUUCCCUCAACCUCAGUCCAGGGACCUGGCUCAGUAAGAACUGAGUCUAGUUUUUGCUUACAUUAAGCCUGAUUAAGAAACGCAUAUAAGUUAUUUUGCAAAUUUGCACUCACACAGAGAUUAACGCAAUCCAACAGUGACAAAAGUAAGCAAAUCAAACUCUUCCUCAGCAACCAUUAAAGCUACUGCUUUUCAAAUGAAAAAUGUAGGACUAUGUUUGAGUAUGUACAAAAAUAGGUGCUGUGUCUGUAAAAUGUACAUUUGCAUAAAAGCCAGCUCCUUUUCUGAGAGCUGUUAUAACAGGAAACUUUUAAAAUAAAACGCACAACAAAUAAAUAAUUUAGAGAUCUAAUUUGUAUGAAUCUUCUUCAAAAAUACAUGUAUGUUGAAGGAGAAGGCAACUGACCAUUAAAAUACAGAGCCACGAGCUCACUGUGGAAAAAAAGAUAUUUUUAGUCAAAUUAAAAAAAAUGUUUUCUAUUCAAGGCUUCAUAUCAUGCUGUAUUAAAUUAUAAGAGUGUAAACUGGUUCUGAUUUGAGAAGAAAUGGCAUUGCAAGAUGCGAUGUGUCAGAAAUGUAAUUGUAUAUUGCACACUGAUGCUCUGCUUGUCUUCACUUUGUUGGAGGCUGACCAAACUAGGAAGCUCAUCAUAGCCAGGAUAAUUUUAACCGUCAAGAGUCCAGUCCCACAGCUCUUAAACACAGAAUUAAUAUUUUUCCCUUGUGUCAUCAAUACAGCAAUUUUUGUUAGUUAAGAAUUUACAGGAAAUAAAUCCCCCAAAGUAUAGUUACAGCCACUGGGGAUGGAGGGGAGCCCUCUCUCUGAAAAUUAGACUGUAAGGUUCAAACCUGCAAAAACAUUAGGGGCUGAGGUUGCCCAGAAAAGCUGUGGUGCCCCAUCCCUGGAGGUGCUCGAGGCCAGGCUGGAUGGGACCCUGGGCAGCUGAUCUGGUGGGUGGCAGCCCUGUCCACGCAGGGGUUGGAAUUGGGUGGACUUUAAGGUCUCUUCCAACCCAAAGCAUUCUGUGAUUCUAUGAUUGAUUCUAUGACAAAAAUAAUCUUUUGAGAGUCCUCCCCACUGUGAAGGGAAUGUUAAUGGCAAGGAAGUCAUGCAGCUAAACACAUGCUGAGAAUCUGGCUCUGAAUGCUGAUUGUGCCAAUCCCCACAUUGCCACAUCAGUGCCAGGAAAAUUACUGACCCUGCUUCACUGAAUCUCUUCCCUUCCCUUCCUCCAGGGAACGUGACUUGUUCCUAACACACAUCUAACCUCUCUUGUGAGACAACAGCCUCCUCUUCUCCCAGUCUCACUGACUUCUAUGCCAUAAUGGCCAAAGCCUGCUGUUCAGGCAGCUGGAACAUUGUGAAGUACUAACAAAAUCUAGUCAUACAGGAAGGGCAUUCCUUUUACCUGAAUUUGGACAGGUUUGUAUGCAUAAGCUGUACUGCUUCAGCCAUUCCAACACAAACUGGUAUUGCCAACUUGGAAGGCAUUUAUGUUGCACUGAAGAGCACUGAAAAAGAAAUACUUCUAUUAGCUUUGUAGGUUAUCCCUAUGUAUCUUUUCACUGCCAAAACAGAAAAAUAACUCCUGAGUGGCCUACCUACAGCAACAGUGACUUCUGUUUGGAGAAUAGACACCUGGUGAGCUUGUAUCUUGGAGGUCUGAGAGUUACAAGACAAUGCUGGAAAACAAGCAGACCUGAGAGAUCCUCACUGUGCCAACAAAACCUCACCAGCUGUCUAUGUUGUUCAGAAAUUAGGUUAUCUUCUACCUAGAAACUCAAAGCUUUAACUCAUCAUAACUGCUGAAUGUCAGUGCUCAGGAAUAGAACUCUUCAGGAAAAAUAGAAUCAUGAAGGUUGGAAAAGACCACUAGGAUCAUCUAGUCCAACCAUCAACCCAUCAUCACCAUGCCCAGUAACCACAUCCCUCACUGCCACGUCUACACGUUGUAUGAAAACCUCCAGACAAUGAUUCUACCACCACCCUGGGCAGCCAGAAAAGCCAGUUCUUGAUUCCAAAGCACUACUGGUUAUUGAAAGAAAAGUGAAUGAUUAUUCUGAAUAGGUGACAAAUCCAAAAGCAACAAGAAAAAAAAAAAAAAAAAAAAGAAAACUAAUAAUAAAGCUCAGCAAUUCACUCAACAAACGUCCUAGAAGGCUUACCUGAGAUUAGAUGAUGAAUGCAUGAACUUUUUGGUCCUGCACUUAAUUCAACCUCUACUUCAACUCUAAGCUCUUCUUAUUAACCCACAAUAUGGCUGUUUAUUUGGUGUUGUCUGUCAGGCUAAAGAGUAUUUAAUGGUGGAUAAAAAAUUGAAUGAAAAAUUCAAGAGAGAGCAAAUUGAGAGAAGAAUUCACCAAGUGAAUCACUUUGAGAACAGUGAGCCUUCCAGCUAGCACAAGGCUCCUUCUGUCCAUAUACCUGAAGGUCUAAUGUAGCUGGUCAAGACUGUGAAACAUUGACUAUGGAGGGCUUCUGACUUGCAGAGGUUCAGUACCAUGAGUUGGAGGGGAAAGAAAACCACACGGUGUACUCUCCUCCUGAAAUUGGGUUGCCAAGGGAAAAUAUGAAAGAAACAAGCAAAACCUCAUGAGACCUCUGGUUCCCUACAAGUGGCUUUGUGCUUUCAAUUGAUACUGUUCUGAAAGUUGUCUGCUGUAUGUCUAUUUGGAUCUGCAUGCUAUAUCUGAUACAGAAUACAAUUUUUAGAUUCUGUAUGUUAUGAGGGGAAAAUAAACAGCAUGGAAAGACAUGUGGCAGGGGGGUUGGAGAUUCAUGAUCCUUGAGGUCCCUUCCAACCCUGGCAAUUCUGUGAUUCUGUGAAAGCACCACUGUCCAGCUUACACAGACUUAAUAACCAUAUUUCUCCAAGUUUUCAGCUGGUCUUGCUAGCUUGCUUCAUUGACUUCAUAGUGGAGUUAUUCCAGCCUACACUAGCUGAGGCUGUAGCCCACCAGAUUACACAUUGCCAUGUGAAAAUGCUUAGUGGUACAGUUUAUUUUCUCAUUUGUAGACCCUGCCAACUGGCACAGCCCUCUUAUGUCUUUCUUCAUUUGCUGUCCUCUGAAAACAUCUUCUGUGUUGUCUAUAGACAUUUUGCUUUUCCCUUGCCAAAUAUUAGCUUUCUGACUGAGCACUUCCUUUGAUUCCUUUUGAAAUAUCUUCACAACUUUACCUUUCUCCCAACAUAAUGCCCUUUGAUUUCUAUUAAGCAAUGUUGUAUUGUUUUUACGUGCAGUAUGAUUAAGAGAAAACAAGUUUAUUUUUGAAAACAUUUAUGCAGCAAAUGAGUUCCAGUGAUUAUAAAUAAUAAAGAAAAACUAAAUAAUGCACUCCUUCCCAUGAGUCAUAUGUAGGUUGGCUACUUUUCUGAAUUCUCCUCCUAAAAAAAGAACUUUGCUUUCAUUGAGAAGACAAAAGCUGUCCUAUGAAGGCACCUCAGAGCUAUACAGUAACGUGUGAAAAAUCAUGGCUGUGCCAGAAUGAGGUGUUGAACUUGAAAACACUUGUGACAGAUACAGAAGGCAGUCUCCCAGUGAUGCUUGUGGGUUGGUCCAUCCCACAAAGGCCUGUGCCCCUCUAAUGAGGGCUGAAAUUAGCUCCUUUACGAAUGAUAUAGAUAGAUAGAUAGAUAGAUAGAUAGAUAGAUAGAUAGAUAGAUAGAUAGAUAGAUAGAUAGAUAGAGGAUGUUUUUCCUAAUGAUCUAGGUGCAAAAGUGCAGGAAAUCUGGGCUCACUCUCCACUCUCCAUUCUCUUUGACUUAAGGGACAUCUAAGGUUGCCCGCUCCUUUCAAGACACAGUGUCUUUUAGCUUUUAACUUUCAGGCUUUGGACUUUAGGGCUGAUAAAAUGCUAGAUUAUAGCCUUACUCCUUCAGAAUGAAUGCUAACCCCCCCGCCCCCACCCUGUAGCCACACUGAUGUCAGUGGGAGGACCUAAGAACUAAUAUUCCCUUUGCUGUGAUUGAGGGUACUAGAUUCUGAUGUGAAAUUACAUCAGAAUUAUUUUCUUCUGUUCUUCUGCUUUUCUCACCUGAGUUCUGUGGUCUAAAUAAACUGAAAAAGCUUUUCUAUCAUAUAAACACUAUCUUACCUCAGUGAUGCAUAGGGUACUCAUACCAAACUACAACCUGACCUUCAACAAGCCUGCAAUAAUUGACCCUCACAGCUGUGUUCUCAUGGCUUCUGGGAUCCUGCACACUACUCUGGAAAGACAGGUUGGUCAUUCUGCCAAAGAUCAUUUAUUUAUUUAUUCUUCCUGGAACAUCCAGUCAUCCUGAAAGACUUCUUCCAGGACUCCUAAAAGAAGGCAACUUUACUGGUGUGGCUGUGCCAUGUUCUACCUAAGGUACAGCAGCUCUUCGGAAAGAUACAAUUCACUGGUCAUGUCAGUCAGUACUGUUUGCUGCUCCCAGUCUGAUCUUUUCUGCUUUUUGGGUCUCUUGUCCUCCCCAGGAACACUAUGGAAAUGACCACAGGUCCCUAUCCAUGACCAGAGUGCCACAGUACAGGGCAACGAAUCAACAAUCAAUUCUUAGCUUCGAAGCACCGCUCUGAGCAGAGAUGCUAAGGCCCAGCACAAGGAAUUACUUGAACCUUCCACCCCCGUGGCAGUGUGGGAUAUUCAAGCAGCUCUUGGGUUGUUGGUCCUCAACGUGUUUUAAGACCAGGCCCAUAUCUAGGAUAUUAUAUAAGGUUUGGAUCACUUAGUGUGAAUAAACAGUGACUCAAAAAUAAACAGUGAAUGUGGUAUGCAGGGUAGAUGACUUCUAACAGCAAACGAAGCAGACUUGAUAUUGAGACAAGGUGUUUCUCUCCUGGAGGAUGUCAUUCGAUUCAGUCUAUGCUGGUAAGACUAUUAGAGAAGACAAAAUAUAUUGCAAAAGAUCAAGAGCUGAAAAAACAUUUAAGCAUAAAAGCAGGGGUGGCAUUGAGGCCAUACAGAGAGAGCUCUUCUUUUUUGCUUGUAAACACAGCGCUGGUAGUUUAACUGAAUGAAAUGGAAACAUUGUGUAUAAUACAGAAAGAGGAGUUGGGGCUGACUUUGGUGACUUUCUAAUAGCUGCCUGGCCAGCUGGCAUAGCUGAUCACUAAAUACCAUCAAUCUUUUGCAGGCCACAGUCAAGGAGUAAAGAGGACACAGUUCACUCAGCUGGGAAUGCUUGCAGGGCUCUGAAUGCUUGAGGCCUUCCAAAAACUAUUGCUUUUCCUCUUCUCAUAUCCAGCAUCUUUUCACCUCUGUUUUCUUCUAGACUCUGAAAUUUACUUGCUGGUCUAGUUCUUACUAACUUCACAGUGUUAAUCAAGAAGCAGAGCUUCAGCUAAUUUUGAUUUUAAUUAUUUAUUUAUUUUAAUCUAGAGGAAUUAAAUUCUAAGGACUUCUGGUAGUUUUUGAUCUCUUCCUUCCAAUGCUGAACUUUAUACUGGGUGAAACAGGAAAAAACAAUAACAAUAAACAAACAAUCAAACAAACAAACUCACAAAAAACACACAAAGAAAUCUGCCUUUGGGAAAAAAAAUUCAGUAUUGGCUGGUCCCGUGCCUUGAUCCUAUGACAUAUUUCACCUCAAUUUGAGUCAUUGCAAGACUCGUGGAACUGCAAUCAAAUUAUUCUAGUGUAUAUGCAAUUCACACCCAUAUAGCCAGCUAUGGGCGUCCCACAAAAAUAAAUCAAAUAAAGCUGUACAAUGGGAAAAAUUCAUUUUACCCUGAAGGUAUGCAGAGCUGAAAAAAUAUGUCUGAGACCUCUACUACAAUAAUGUAUCGUGCAUAGCAAACAGCUUGGAGAAACAAUAACAAUCAAUACAUUGAAGACAAGGUAUCCAAAACAGAGCUGUAAAUCUAAGCAUCCCUAAUGCCACAAUACUUCUGCAGCAAGUCUGACAGACCUGUGGUGCUUUUAUGGAUGCAGCCUUGUCAUACCUGAGAUUUUCACAACCUCCCUUAACUGACUCAUUGUAAGACCAGGAAGAUGUCAGUGAAGGGAAGAACAGGAGAGUUCUUCUAAGGAAAGGUGGAAGGCAGACCCAUUUUACAUCCUACCAAGCUGCUGUGGAUUUUCAGUUUGAAAUAUGCAGUCUCACUCCCAGUCAUGAAUAUGCGCGCAUGUGAAUGUUUCAGAAGACCUACAAGCUCACCUUACUGCAGUUGCAUAGAUUUAGCUUGCUGCAUGAUCCUUGAAACACUGGUCAGCUUGUUUUGCAAGUAAAACACACAGAAUCACCAUAUGGAAUUUAAAUUUCCACUAAAGAACAAAAAUGCACCUACCCAUUGUGGUCGUUCAGGAAAUCUCCCUAGCAGAACCCAACUGUGCAGUGUUUCCUUUCUUGAGUCUGAAAAGAGCCUGAAACAAUACCCAUCAGAGAGGUAAGCUGCCCAAACUGCUUGUUUCCAUUCAGAUUUUGACUCAAAACCCUAUUGACACCAUUAUAGAUGUCAACAUUUGAUACACAAUACACGAAUAUAUUUUAGCAGAUGGAGAUGAAUGGAAAUGAAGCCAACAUGCUGUUGAGGCUCGGUUCAGAAUUACUGGGAGGAGGAGAAUUGGGAGAGGAGGGGUGCCAAGAAGGAAGUAGAGCAGAAACAGAGAAAGGAAGAUAGGAAGGGAGGAAAAAUCACUCCCACCCUUGGUGAGGUGAUUCUGCUGAAUCAAGCACUGAGGAGUAAAAGAAAAAUAAACAAUGCAUUACUUGCUACAGCAAACGAUUAGGCUUUGCUUUUGCUCUUUGUAUAGAGCUCCCUCUGAGAUCAGCAGGUGUAGACAGAAGGCGAUGCGUUUGCUUAGAUUCACACCACAGCCCCUUCUUCACUGUCAGGCAUGGAGGUUGUUCUCCUCCACAGGAUGAACGGGAUGUCCCUAAUGUUACAGACAGCUCAGAUAAAACAGCCUGCUAACCACCCAUUUUGAAUUAACAAGAGUAACUCACAGUGUAAAUCCAAUAGCUCUAUGGAAGCUACAAAAUGGCACUGAAGUUUUGAUAGGGUUUUGUUGUAACUAAAAAUUAUGGUCCUAGAUUAAACAGAUGUGUGAUGUGUGAUGCUACCAUUCAUCACCCUGUGAAGGAAUGAGUACCUUUUUAAAAAAACUCAGUUAAACAGCAGAAACACAUAUAGUAGGGACAAACUGACAGCAAAAUAGUCCUUCCAACCUGCAGAUGGAAACCGUAUUUCUAGAAUCUAAUAAAAUGACAACUGUAUUUCUAGAAUCUGAUAAAAAGAUGCCAGAGGCCAAGGAUGAGAGUAGAUGUGUGAGCAAAAGGUAAAAAAAAAAGAUUUUACAACGGAGGGACCAGGAUACCAAGAACUUACUGUUCAACAUGUAUAAAGCAGGCUCACAGUGUGAUUUUCAAGACCCCCUUCACAUUUUCUAAAGAAGAACAACUGUGAAUUCUCUCCCUAUUUUCUGUUCCUAUAGUGUUUAUGAACUGAACAUUUGCACUUCUUUUCUUAGACAAAGGUGAUUUUUCACAAAGUCUCUGCAUUUAAAGGACAAGUACAUCAAUUCACAACAUUCACUAUUCUUGUGCUUUUCUUUC